RNAcentral lists this long non-coding RNA (691 nucleotides) under Mustela putorius furo (domestic ferret). RNAcentral's name for it is "lncRNA (ENSMPUG00000024515.1)". Lineage: Eukaryota; Metazoa; Chordata; Mammalia; Carnivora; Mustelidae. The record is from RNAcentral.
AUGUCACAAUGGGUGGACAGUGAGAUGAUGAUGGGGAGCUUGGGAUUCUGGACAGAGAAGCCCAAUCUGUGUUGGAUGACAUAUUGGGGCAUAGUGUGCACUAUGGGCUCUUCAAACUGCUACUGUCAGAACCCUUCAGACCCUAACAUUGGAGGGGGCAUCUGGGUUGAAACAACAAGAACUGAUCCAGCAUCGGAAUUUUUGGGAAAAGCCUCUGGAGCUUCAUUUGGAUUAUUGCAGUGAUUAACAUUACAGCAGAGCACAGAGGAUUGAAAUUCCUAAGUAUCACUUCUACAGAUCUGAAAAUUGAAGGAGCAGACUACUGGCAGUAAUAGUUACAAAUGGCAACUUGUAUUUUGUUUGGAAAACAACUUCUUUCCUUGAGGAAGUAUGUUUGUAUUGGUUUUCAUAGUGUUUGGUCUUUGAAGAGGUACUUGUGAUUUUAGGGAACACUAACUUUAUCUUCAAAUUAAAUGUAAUUUAAAUCUUUGAUAGCAUAUUUUCUAAGCUCUUUAAAUUAGAAAUAACUUUACCCUUAUGCCAAAGAAUCCAAGUAGUUCAAGGUUAAACAGUGUGUCAUGGUGAUGUCAGGGAUGCCUCAACUUUCCUCCUCCAAAAAACGUUUUAUUCCAUGGUUUCUUUUCCUACUUCAAUAGAAAAAUAUUGACAUAAAUUAAAAGUGAACACUGAC